AGUCGGUCCCAAGGGUUGGGCUGUUCGCCCAUUAAAGCGGUACGCGAGCUGGGUUCAGAACGUCGUGAGACAGUUCGGUCCCUAUCCGUCGUGGGCGUAGGAAAUUUGAGAGGAGCUGUCCUUAGUACGAGAGGACCGGGAUGGACACACCGCUGGUGUACCAGUUGUCUUGCCAAAGGCAUCGCUGGGUAGCUAUGUGUGGACGGGAUAAGUGCUGAAAGCAUCUAAGCAUGAAGCCCCCCUCAAGAUGAGAUUUCCCAUUACGCAAGUAAGUAAGAUCCCUCAAAGACGAUGAGGUAGAUAGGUUCGAGGUGGAAGUGUGGUGACACAUGGAGCUGACGAAUACUAAUCGAUCGAGGACUUAACCA
RNAcentral lists this ribosomal RNA (368 nucleotides) under Lysinibacillus fusiformis. Its description in RNAcentral is "23S rRNA. Bacterial LSU". It matches the Rfam family "Bacterial large subunit ribosomal RNA", at positions 2557 to 2925 of the family's 2925-position model. Lineage: Bacteria; Bacillati; Bacillota; Bacilli; Caryophanales; Bacillaceae. RNAcentral also lists the same sequence under 1 other name. The record is from RNAcentral.